UUAUUCAACAACUUAGAGAUUUAUUGAGUCGGUUUUGGAGUCACUGUUGUACAUUUCAGAAUCAAAGAGACAAACAUGGUACAAAUGUACAUUAAAUUCACCUGUGAAAAUGUUAAAAUAGCACAAAUAAAUUAAUGUUUGUGUUACAUACUUUACAAAAAUAAAUAUAUAUAGAUGCAGAUAUAUAAAUGUGCAUAUGCUUAGUAAUCACAACUUAAGCCUGAAGACAGGCUGAGGAAUUAAAUGCAUUUAUAUUUUGUGAUGAGAACGAGAGCUGUGCUGCUCCUUCUUCUUAAUCCACACAUGUUGUAACAGCACUAAACAUGCAAAGUGCAUCAUGAUGAUUCUGGCACUGCAGCCGAUGCUGUCGUUGUUUGAGGGCUGACUGUCGUAUUUUUCAUCUGAUUCCUGUGAAAACAACAUAUCAGAGAGAUGAGGCUGGGUUGCAAAAAAAAUCACAACUUUUAAAGCUUUAACAACAAAAUCAACCAACUUUUUUGUCUUAUUUACUUUCUGAAUAACAAAAGGAUCUUGAUUUGAAAAAAACUGCUUCUGUAAAACCAUCAGUAUUUUUAAUCACUGAUGUGCAGAGCCUCACUCUGAUGCUCCCAAAGUGACUGUUGAUGUUCCUGUUUUAACUUCACUGACUUCCUCUCUAACAUUUAACUCACAUUAAGUUGAACACCAGUGAAUGAUAGAAAAAACAUCUGUGUGACUUACAGUUUUUCUAGCAGCAUUAUGGUGAAUUUAGACUGAGGAUCGAGACACCGUUCACUCCCAUCCUUCAGUGUGACUCUGUAACAUGUAAAGAAAGCUUUGAUUUAAAACCACUUUAUAAACAAUCCUUAUUAAUGACUGAGCUCUUAUUAAUAAUGUGCUCCUGUCACUGUGGGCACUUACAUGACUUCUCUCCUGUUGCAGUAUGGACGAGGCUCAUCCACCUUAACUUCAGUGAUGGGACCUCUUACAGACUUACUGGUGUUCAAACACCGGCACCUUGGAACAACUGGAAAACAUAGAAUGUGAUAAUUAAUGUUAAACUGCUGCAGUUUCAUAUUUUACUUAAACAUAAAUAUAUUUAGAUUGAUUCAUUGUCAUGAUUUAGCUCCUCUCAAGAUGCAAAAAUACACCAAAGUUUUCCAUAAUCUGAUAAAACACACUUACUUAAUGAAGUGCAAAGGGCCAUGCAGGCCAGGAGAACGAUGCACUGGAUGGCAACACUUGUCUUCAUCUUAAAGCUUUUCAAGUAUCUAGUGGAGGAUCUACUGAAGGCUCAGUCUUCAACUGGUUUGUUCUUCUCAGAUAUGAAGGAUCUCUGCUGCUGUGGGUCUCCUUCACUUCUCGAGCUGCCUGAG
This is a long non-coding RNA of Astatotilapia calliptera (eastern happy), 1355 nucleotides long. The record is from Ensembl. NCBI's taxonomy places the organism in Eukaryota, Metazoa, Chordata, Actinopteri, Cichliformes, Cichlidae.